UACGGAAGGGGCAAGCGUUGUUCGGAAUUAUUGGGCGUAAAGGGCGCGUAGGCGGCCCCAUAUGUCGGCGGUGAAAGCAUACAGCUCAACUGUAUUGAGCCGCGGAAACUGUGGGGCUUGAGGCUGGGAGGGGCUGGUGGAAUUCCCUGUGUAGUGGUGAAAUGCGUAGAGAUCCGGAGGAACACCAGAGGCGAAGGCGGCCUACUGGGCCAGUACUGACGCUGAGCCGCGAAAGCCAGGGGAGCGAACGGG
This 252-nucleotide ribosomal RNA is filed under the name uncultured bacterium. Its description in RNAcentral is "partial 16S ribosomal RNA". It matches the Rfam family "Bacterial small subunit ribosomal RNA", at positions 524 to 776 of the family's 1533-position model. The record is from RNAcentral.